This 1472-nucleotide long non-coding RNA is filed under the name Homo sapiens (human). RNAcentral's name for it is "HSALNT0062320". Lineage: Eukaryota; Metazoa; Chordata; Mammalia; Primates; Hominidae. The record is from RNAcentral.
UUGAGAUUUUACCGUAGAAGUUCCUAUAUUACUUCCUGCCAUUUCCAUGUACUCUGGAUAUUAAAUGUAAAAACAGGUGCAGUAUAUUUGUUUGAAGAGAUUAUUGGGUAGUUUAUUAACUUGGGUACUCAUUUUGCUCUUUGUACUAUAUGCCACCCCAAAUUUAUAGCCUUUGAAUAAUUAAGCAAUGUUUGUUUCUGAAAGACAUCAGCACCACUGUAGAGGGGGUAUUAUACACUUAAUAUUUCUUAUUAAACAUAUGUGUGAAAUGUUUGGGUCUCAUUGUUUUAAAGGUAGAAAGCAACUCUAGCCCUGACAUAGAAACUUUUUGUUGUUGUUGUUGCUUAAAGGAUUUUCCAUUAGAUAAUUCACAAAUUUAACAGUUAUGAUUACUUUUACCUAGAUGACUGUGUGGAUAUCUUGAAAGUUGUCUUCUGAGUUCCCUGACUCUUCUUUGAUCUGAGGUAGUUUUCCUGAUGUGCUAUUAAUAAGGAAGAAGGAAUGAAGCACUUAGUUCCCUAAACUCUGAGAGUGCUACUGGAAGAUAGUCUGUUGUGAUUCACCCUUAUUGGGAAUUUUCUUGACUGAAGAAAACUACCUCAUCCAAAGCAACAAUCCCUUCCAUGGAUAGCCUGCAUCCAACAGCUCAUCAAUGGAAAGAUAUAAAUGCUUGCCUCCCUCACUCCAACUCAGCAUGAUUCUGAAGAACCAUUCUCAUUCAAAUGCUUACCAAGAAUUCAACUGGGGCCUUUAUUGAGAUUGUGACAGAGCUCAACCCUCCGCCCAAUCCAGCUUUCCUCCCUUCUCUUACACAGGAGAAAAGCUCAAGACACAGAUGUCCACACCCAACAACUAGCUAAUCUACUUUAAAUGCCAAAGAUGAAUACAAAAAAAGAAAAAGAAAAAGAAACUACAACUUUUAUCUGCAAUUUGACAGAGCAAAUUUUUAUGAAUGAAUCCAGAUGGCUACUCCAGUUGCCUUCCAGCAUAUGGACAAAGGUGAGAGUGAUUUUUUCUGAUAUGAUAUUCUGCUUUCUAGUUGGUGACAAAUAUUUUACCCCUUGAGAUGAAUUUUAAAAUCUUUCCCUUGGCCAGGUGCGGUGGCUCACGCCUGUAAUCCUAGCACUUUGGGAGGCCGAGGUGGGCAGAUUGACUGAGUUCAGGAGUUUGAGACCAGCCUGGGCAACACGGUGAAACUCCAUUUCUACUAAAAAAGAAAAAAUUAGCCAGGCGUGGCGGCGUGCACUGAUAGUGCCAGCUACUCGGGAGGCUGAAGCAGGAGAAUUGCGAGACUCCAUUUCCAAAACAAACAAACAAACAAACAAACAAAAAAACCCAUUUCCCUUUCUGGAUCAGAGCACAAAUGAUACAAUUUUUAAAAAAUACCUUGGUUUUCUUUCUUGUCUGUUUGCACAAACCUGCUUUCAACCUCAUGAUUGUUUCUUCCAAUUGAGAUCUGAUUGGCAAAGCCA